This 70-nucleotide transfer RNA is filed under the name Salmo salar (Atlantic salmon). It matches the Rfam family "tRNA". From Rfam's summary of the family: Transfer RNA (tRNA) molecules are approximately 80 nucleotides in length. Their secondary structure includes four short double-helical elements and three loops (D, anti-codon, and T loops). Lineage: Eukaryota; Metazoa; Chordata; Actinopteri; Salmoniformes; Salmonidae. The record is from Rfam by way of RNAcentral.
UCCCAUGUGGGUCAGUUGGUAGAGCAUGGUGCUUUCAAUGCCAGGGUUGUGGGUUUGAUUCCCAUGGGAG